GAUCAAAAUGAUUCACAAGAUGAUGAGCGUGGCAAUCUCGGCGGGCUCGCUAAAGUCAGGGGAAGGAGAGAAACAAUGGGGAGCAUAACAUGGAUGUGGGGCAGGAGAGGCCGUGGUCGGAGCGGCAUUGCGUGGGCAUAUUGGGUAUUAUUUGAGCUGAUACUCCAUUUUCUUACAAGAGAUGUGGUCCCAUCAAUGUUGGCUGUCGAAUUUGUGCUGCAGUCCAUGCCCACCACGUCCGAGUCUUCGCCCCUUCGUCAUCCAACACAAACAGCAGAACAGAGUAGCAGUUGUGAUUUGCCAGGUUGGAGAACUGACGCAGCUUGCUGUCACGGAGUGCUCGCCCUUCUUCUGUGCCAUAAAGCCCCUCGGUCGAAACUUGCAAAUCAAAAUUGCCGACCCUGUCAAUCUCGCUGGAACGACGUCUAGCUCGUUGUGCUCCACUCACUCUAACGGCAUAUCUCAUAACUAAAGCUAUGAACAAGUGCUUCAGUUAUGCUGGUGGCAAUACAUUGCUUGAGGUGACCUCGUGUGCAAGAUUAUCCCCAUGGAGGGCGCUGGCACGGAGACAUUUGCUCACAUCAGUACUAUGAGCAGCCUGGUUGGGUGGUGACGUUUCCGAGUGGCCAAGCAAGAGCUUUUUUUGGUCUACACCUAUGCAGUGGUGACUUCUGCUACAAUGUGCAUCAACACCAGAACCAUGUUCCUGAUCAUGGACGCUGUUGUGUCCCUCACCGGCUCUCUCCUUGCCAUCACCGACAGGGUUGUGCAGGCCACUACUCGCGCAACUACUUUGCAGUGUGGAGCAUGCCAUCGAGAUAGACCAAAAGAAGAACACCGCCGGCAACAACACCAAUGGGGGCCUCCCUGGUUUCCACCACCGCCGUUGCCAUCGUCGCCCUCCCCGCCGCCCCACACCACACUGCCAGAUAGGAGUUCCAGUGUAUAUUUAUUUUUCAUCCUUAUCAGAAUAAGGAUGCACCUUGAAUUAUAUGCAGUUUUGAAGACCAUCGUUUGGAAUUUUAUGCAGUUUCUUUUGAUGAAAAUAUUUAGUUUGUCGUAAAAUUCCAAUGAAUACAAUUCUGGAUGAGGACAGAAUAAUGUGUAGCUAUGAUGGAUGUUCUUAUUCCAGUGACUCAUCAUCCGGAGAUAAUAGUAAGAUGAAU
Long non-coding RNA from Triticum urartu, 1166 nucleotides. RefSeq lists it as uncharacterized. Lineage: Eukaryota; Viridiplantae; Streptophyta; Magnoliopsida; Poales; Poaceae. The record is from RefSeq and is a predicted model, not a curated record.